UGGACACUAGAACCCCUUUUUUAACUUCCCGUGAGAAAACCAAUUGACUUUCUCAGUCCUCCUCCACCUCUGCCGUAGCCACAUAGCCCACAGCCACUAAGGCCCAAACAGAAGUCACUCAAAUAAUAAUUAAAACCUCCACCACCACACCAUAAAGUUGCACAAAAAGUCCAAUCACACAAAGCCACAAUACACCCAAACCCACCAAGGCCUCUUUACAGAACACAGUCAAUUGGACUCUUGUGUUUAUGGUUAUCAAAUCAACCUUCCAAAUCGGUUUGGUUCUUGUUCAUGUUUUGGGUUUUCAUUCCAAGCAUUGUAAUAUUUUGGAGGAUGUGAACUGCGGAUUUGAUCGGAGCAUUGAACAAAAGGGCUUAAUUUUUAAUUUUCUAUGGGUCUGAAUUUAACGCAAGUCUAACUUAUAAUCUCUUGGGAGCUUUUCGACUUUUCGUCAAACACCUGCUGUGCAAAAGCAAAUACCGACGGCCAACCAUGCCAAGUAGAAAGAAAGCUUCAAUAAACGAUAUGGAAAUCCCAAAAGCAAGCUUCUUUCCUCCUCAAGAGCAAGAAAAAGUAAACUGCUGCUGCCUUUCUCUUCUGGCAACUGGCAAGUAUGGAGCAGAUUGGCAUUUCAUUCCAACUUGCAAGAUUUUAGGUAACAGCCCUUAGUCCUUUGCCAUAAAUCAAUCUAUGUCUUCUUUGUUAUUGAUAUCAGUGCAGUAUCAUGUAUAUAAUCAUCAUCAUCAAUUUCAUGUUCGCUUCCAUUGAUUUUGCCUUGAUAAUUUGAGAAGUUCCCUUUAGGAAAUAGUUAGGUUGUUAACACAAGAAUUUGAAUAUAGAUUCAUCUCAAUUUCCAAUUUUUUAUAGCUCAUAUCUCUCUCUCUCUC
Long non-coding RNA from Quercus robur (English oak), 887 nucleotides. RefSeq lists it as uncharacterized. The transcript is spliced from 2 exons. The record is from RefSeq and is a predicted model, not a curated record. NCBI's taxonomy places the organism in Eukaryota, Viridiplantae, Streptophyta, Magnoliopsida, Fagales, Fagaceae.